Molecule: long non-coding RNA, 476 nt
Filed under: Androctonus crassicauda
Lineage: Eukaryota; Metazoa; Arthropoda; Arachnida; Scorpiones; Buthidae
Source: RNAcentral
AGUGCCUUUUAGAUAGGGGUGAGGUUUGUCUUGGAUGUCGGAAGCGGGUGAAGAUGUAAAGUUGAAAAAUAUACAGAUAGUGGGACGUAAGCACUCUUAACCCCAUGUCAAAUUUAAAAAAAUUCCAUGAAACAUUUUCAAAAUAUUUAGCUGUUUCCAUACAUUUUAGACACCCUAUAUAUAUGUAUGUUAUGGGUAAAGUCCAGAUUUGGAUGAUGUCACAUUCGAAGUUUGAAGAAAUAUUUGCACAAGUGCAGUUUUUCUUUAUUGACCUGAUAGCUGUCUAUUUAUGUAGACUAUGGAUGUAGUGUAGACUUGAGGUUGGAGAGGAGUACAUAUAGUACAUCCAAGAGUUUGGACCAAACAUCCAUGAUUUAGGCAGAGAAGCAAUACAUAUGGAUUGAUCAAAAAGUUGCCAAGAAUUCUAGCCCAAACAUUAAUGCAAUCCUGAUGUUGAAAGCCACAAGGAAGUCGCA